ACAUCUGGAAAACUCCAAUGCACACAUGUGAGAGUAUGCCAGAGAGAGAGACCUAUCUGAAACCAGCUUGGGCAGCUGGAGAAGAAUGAGGGUGAGCAGACAUCUGGGCAAGCCGGAGUUUGGGAAAACUGCCAUCUUCGACCUUUCUGGAGCAGCAAGAUACUGGUAAUAUGGACUUUGGAGCUGGGCAGCCCUUUUGUGACCAUGAGGCAACAUUGAAGAUGCAAGCCACAUGCUAAGACAGAAGAAAAUAAAGACAGAACUAAGCUGGGGCAUGUAUGACAUUUCAAGCUCUCAGAUCAGCCCUUGAUGGCCACCAUCCAUAUUUAUUGACAUGAAAAGAAGUCCUCAUUUUGUCAAAGCCAAUGAUAUUCAGGACUGUUAUUAAUAACAAAAUACAAUUCUUCCCUCUACCC
Molecule: long non-coding RNA, 416 nt
Filed under: Homo sapiens (human)
Lineage: Eukaryota; Metazoa; Chordata; Mammalia; Primates; Hominidae
Description: HSALNT0333329
Source: RNAcentral